RNAcentral lists this ribosomal RNA (750 nucleotides) under uncultured Clostridium sp. RNAcentral describes it as "bacterial SSU rRNA". It matches the Rfam family "Bacterial small subunit ribosomal RNA", at positions 28 to 774 of the family's 1533-position model. The record is from RNAcentral. Lineage: Bacteria; Bacillati; Bacillota; Clostridia; Eubacteriales; Clostridiaceae.
GAUGAACGCUGGCGGCGUGCCUAAUACAUGCAAGUCGAACGCUUCGAUUUAUCGAAGAGUGGCGAACGGGUGAGUAAUACAUAAGUAACCUGCCCUUAACAGGGGGAUAACUACUAGAAAUGGUGGCUAAGACCGCAUAGGUGGAUUGAUCGCAUGAUCGAUUCAUUAAAAGACCUUUCAAGGUCUGGAUAAGGAUGGACUUAUGUCGCAUUAGCUAGUUGGUAAGGUAACGGCUUACCAAGGCGACGAUGCGUAGCCGGCCUGAGAGGGUGAACGGCCACAUUGGGACUGAGGCACGGCCCAAACUCCUACGGGAGGCAGCAGUAGGGAAUUUUCGGCAAUGGGGGAAACCCUGACCGAGCAACGCCGCGUGAAGGAAGAAGGAAUUCGUUUCGUAAACUUCUGUUAUAAAGGAAGAAAGAUGAUAUCAGGAAAUGGAUGUCAAGUGACGGUACUUUAUGAGAAAGCCACGGCUAACUACGUGCCAGCAGCCGCGGUAAUACGUAGGUGGCAAGCGUUAUCCGGAAUUAUUGGGCGUAAAGAGGGAGCAGGCGGUAACAAAGGUCUGUGGUGAAAGCCUGAAGCUUAACUUCAGUAAGCCAUAGAAACCAGGUAACUAGAGUGCAAGAGAGGAUCGUGGAAUUCCAUGUGUAGCGGUGAAAUGCGUAGAUAUAUGGAGGAACACCAGUGGCGAAGGCGACGAUCUGGCUUGUAACUGACGCUGAGUCCCGAAAGCGUGGGGAGCAAAUA